AACUUUUAGCAAUGGAUCACUUGGCUCUCGCAUCGAUGAAGAACGCAGCGAAAUGCGAUAAGUAAUGUGAAUUGCAGAAUUCACUGAAUCAUCGAAUCUUUGAACGCACCUUGCGCCCCUUGGCCAUUCCGAGGGGCAUGCCUGUUUGAGUAUCAUGAACACCUCGACUCUCAUGGCUUGCCAUGAUGACGUUAGACGUCUGGGGUUGUGUUGGCCUCUGUGGUAAGCUCCUCUUAAAUGAAUCAGCGUGCUAGUGUUUGGCGGCAUUGUGGGUGUGAUAACUAUCUACGCCCAUGGUUGUUUGCCAGGUAACCUGCAGCAGUGGAGGUUCGCUGGGGCUUAUAAAUGUCUCUCCUCAGCAUGAGACAGCAUUUUGAACGUUCGAUCUCAGAUCAGGUAGGACUACCCGCUGAACUUAAGCAUAUCAAUAAGCGGAGGUU
This 440-nucleotide unclassified non-coding RNA is filed under the name uncultured Thelephoraceae. Its description in RNAcentral is "sequence contains ITS2". The stretch from base 1 to 155 matches the Rfam family "5.8S ribosomal RNA". Lineage: Eukaryota; Fungi; Basidiomycota; Agaricomycetes; Thelephorales; Thelephoraceae. The record is from RNAcentral.